GAAAUUCAUUCCCCGAUAAGUUUUAAGGGAAAAGAAUAUGCGUGGCCGGGAGAUUUUAUGGAAGGGAAGAGAACGUGGUAUACAUCUAUACGUAUUACGAACAUCCGACGGAAAAAUUUACUUCGAUUGAAGUUGUCCGAUAAUUCUGGAACCGAGUCUUACAGUUGAAAAACAGAAAAGUUGCAUUAUAUUGAUUCGAAGCGAGAAUAGCUUACAAUUAGCCUUGCUGUUGAA
This 234-nucleotide long non-coding RNA is filed under the name Neodiprion pinetum (white pine sawfly). Its description in RNAcentral is "uncharacterized LOC124215979". The record is from RNAcentral. Lineage: Eukaryota; Metazoa; Arthropoda; Insecta; Hymenoptera; Diprionidae.